Molecule: transfer RNA, 62 nt
Filed under: Indochinamon bhumibol
Lineage: Eukaryota; Metazoa; Arthropoda; Malacostraca; Decapoda; Potamidae
Description: tRNA-Arg
Source: RNAcentral
AAUUAGAAAGCGAAAUAUUUGCAUUCAGUUUCGACCUGAAUUUUGGCCUAAGCCUCUGAUUU